GACGAACGCUGGCGGCGUGCCUAAUACAUGCAAGUAGAACGCUGAAGGAGGAGCUUGCUCUUCUGGAUGAGUUGCGAACGGGUGAGUAACGCGUAGGUAACCUGCCUGGUAGCGGGGGAUAACUAUUGGAAACGAUAGCUAAUACCGCAUAACAGUAGAUGUUGCAUGACAUUUGCUUAAAAGGUGCAAUUGCACCACUACCAGAUGGACCUGCGUUGUAUUAGCUAGUUGGUGGGGUAACGGCUCACCAAGGCGACGAUACAUAGCCGACCUGAGAGGGGGGUCGGCCACACUGGGACUGAGACACGGCCCAGACUCCUACGGGAGGCAGCAGGAGGGAAUCUUCGGCAAUGGACGGAAGUCUGACCGAGCAACGCCGCGUGAGUGAAGAAGGUUUUCGGAUCGUAAAGCUCUGUUGUAAGAGAAGAACGAGUGUGAGAGUGGAAAGUUCACACUGUGACGGUAUCUUACCAGAAAGGGACGGCUAACUACGUG
This 495-nucleotide ribosomal RNA is filed under the name uncultured bacterium. Its description in RNAcentral is "partial 16S ribosomal RNA". It matches the Rfam family "Bacterial small subunit ribosomal RNA", at positions 28 to 507 of the family's 1533-position model. The record is from RNAcentral.